This 433-nucleotide ribosomal RNA is filed under the name uncultured bacterium. RNAcentral's name for it is "partial 16S ribosomal RNA". It matches the Rfam family "Bacterial small subunit ribosomal RNA", at positions 29 to 507 of the family's 1533-position model. The record is from RNAcentral.
AGCGAACGCUGGCGGCAGGCCUAACACAUGCAAGUCGAACGGAUCCUUCGGGAUUAGUGGCGGACGGGUGAGUAACACGUGGGAACGUGCCCUUUGGUUCGGAACAACUCAGGGAAACUUGAGCUAAUACCGGAUGUGCCCUUCGGGGGAAAGAUUUAUCGCCAUUGGAGCGGCCCGCGUCUGAUUAGCUAGUUGGUGAGGUAACGGCCCACCAAGGCGACGAUCAGUAGCUGGUCUGAGAGGAUGAUCAGCCACACUGGGACUGAGACACGGCCCAGACUCCUACGGGAGGCAGCAGUGGGGAAUCUUGCGCAAGGGGCGAAAGCCUGACGCAGCCAUGCCGCGUGAAUGAUGAAGGUCUUAGGAUUGUAAAAUUCUUUCAGCGGGGACGAUAAUGACGGUACCCGCAGAAGAAGCUCCGGCUAACUUCGUG